AUUUGUUUGCUCAUUGUUGGGCCCACAAUAAUAUUUCAUAUUUGCUUCUAAAUAAUGUGCAGUGUGUUGUUCAGUCCAACACUUCUGGUUGCUGAUAAUCAAUCUUCAAAUCUAAUCUGCUCCCCACUUCAGCACUUACAGUUCUCCGUUAUGGCUGCUGUCGAUAACACUGUGCAGAGGAGCAUAAAGUUCAAAAUCACAUCAAAAGGAAUACGGCGUGAAUUAGAAGACAAGUCAAGUGGUGACAUGAUGAUGAUAGUGAAUAAUAAACGUAGAGAUGGAGUUAAUGGAAAUGGAAAAUCCAUUCCAGUCAAAUAUACGAAGUCAGGCAACUCUAACAAGCGUAAACCCGGAGUGAUCCUUGAGUGUCAUAGGGAGAAAAAGCAGAGGACAGAACAAAAUUUCAAGGAGCAGUAUAGUAAAAUUUUGAGAUCGUUGAUGAGGCACCCUCACGGGUUUGCUUUCAAUCAACCAAUUGAUCCUAUGAAGCUGAAGAUUCCAGAUUAUUUUUCAAUAAUCACUGAGCCAAUGGAUUUGGGAAAGAUCAAGUGUAAACUGGAGGAAAAUAGAUACUUUGAUGCAGAGGAAUUUGCUAGGGACGUGAGGCUGACUUUUUCCAAUGCAAUGGUGUACAAUCCUCCUGGGAACUAUGUCUAUAACUUCGCGAAAGAAUUAAAUGAUCUCUUCAGUAAGAGAUGGAAUUUAUUGAAGACUAAAUUGAAUGUGAUCGUCAAAGGAACAUCACUAGAGCUGGAAAGAGCAAUAAAGGUUUCUUUGGAAGUAACAGAAGGAAAGGUGAGUAAAUGUAAUGGUGUAUACAAUCUGGUUGUGUCUAUUGGUGUGAUGCUUUCUUCCUUUAUCAAUUUUGCACAGUACUGUUUUCUAAUUGUCACAAUGUUGUCAUGCACUUGCUUCGUUUGCUCUAUCCUUAGUUUGCUGCUCCUUGUUAGUGGUUACUAGACCUUUCUUUACAUAAAUUGUUGAUUCUGUAUGUUUUCCUGAACAGGCGAAGCCUUCGAGAACAGCACAAAGUGGGCGCCCCAAACUAGUGAAAACUUUUCAUAAAGGUUAGAGACGUGACAGAAUAAGUUUGUGCGUUCUGGUUCUUUACAUGACUGAUUGGCCAUGUAUCUUGUAUGCAGAUAAUGGAAAUCAAGCAUUUGCUACUUCCAAUAGAAAACAACCAUUUGAUUUCCCUGCAGUCAAAUGUGCUGCAUGUGGUAGUCUGACGUGCCAAUGCAGCCUCAGAUGUUCUGUUAAGCCAUCUUCCAAUGGUGAUUUAAAUUCUUAUAACAACUUGUUAAUAUGUUGCAUUUGUGUUCAUGUCAACUAAUUUGGAGUAUAUUGCAUCUUGUUUCAGAUUUUUCUUCAAAAAGAUUAUUUGAUCGUGAUCACUCCGAUGAUUCUAAACUGGUAAAUUUUAGACUCUUCUCGUUUCACCAAAUAAUUUAUUUUUUCAAAUAUAUGGUGUCACUUAUUGUUGAUCUUUCCCGUGUCUAUUUACAUCAGGAUGGUGGGGUUAAAUAUCCUUUGACAUCUCCAACAAGAGGAUUACAGCUUGAUUCAUAUGGUGAGAGCAAUAGCUGUUGCCUAUAUGUUUACAAUUGUGUAGCUUGUUUUUUGAUUAUUUGAGCUUUGACAUGCUAUUGUCAAUGAAUUGUAGGGCAUGAAUGUGUUCCCAAUGAAGACAAUUCUCAGCAAAAAGUCUCUUCCCCAGCAACAACUGCUGCCAUUGAUAAAGGUAACUAUGAUCUAGAAAUGGAAAUGCAUUUUUGGGAUUAACCUUUUACUCCCACUGGCACACCCAGACAUGCAUAUAUCAGUUCUGCAUGUAAGAAAAUGAUUUGCUUUUCCUCUGCAAAUUCCAAGAUCAAAACUACUGAAGUAUCAUUCAUAGCUUGGAAAUAUGGAGAUUUGAUUUAUAUAUGCCUUUGUUUUAGGAUGGACUUCACCUGUUAAUAUGCCGCCAAACAAGGUUUUGCGUGCUUCCAUGCUAAAAAGCCGCUUUGCAGAUACUAUCUCCAGAGCUAGACAUCAUACUCUCCUGGAUCAUGUAAUAAUUUCUUAUUGCUUGCAAAAAUUUGGCAUACAUACUAGGUUGGUCGAGCUCUUCGUUUUGUGGAUAUACUAAUCUCUGUCUCUGUUGAUUUCUAUUUAGGGCAAGAAGAUUAAUCCUGUGAGUAGGCAAAAAGAAAGGGAAAGACUGGAAAGGCAGCAGUGUGAAGGUAUCUUAGCAUAUCCUUGAUCCAAUAUUUUGGUGUACUGUAAUAUUUUCGUGUUAAAAUGUUGCCUUCCUAUGGAACUUUUAGUGUAAUAUUUGCCAUUUUGGGCUAGUGUUGUCUUGUAUUGAAAUUCUCUUUCUUGAUGAUCAGUAGAUGUGACACAAGGCAUGUGGCUGAAAAUAAAGUUUAAAUUAUAUAGACUCUUGUGUGAACUGUGAAACUAUUCUGGUUUGUGAAUUAAAAACGAGACAUGAAUUUUCAUUUAGAUAUCUGAUUGUCAUUCUUUUCUUUUACGGUAUAAGUAUUUCAUUAGUAUUUCUCUUCAUUUGGGAAUAUUUUGUUUACACUGGAUGUUUGACCUUCUGCAGAGAAGGCUAGGAUUGCAACUGCUGUAGCAGCCUCCCGAAUGAGGUUGGAGACAGAGUUGAAGAUGCAACGUGAGAGGGAAAGAAAAGCAGCCAGAAUUGCAUUAGAAAAGGUCCCUUUUUAAAUUCAUUUUUGUAUUCCUUGAUCCUGUGUGAUUCCUGUUAUGAUUUGCCUCAUUGAUACUAAAGAAAUUUAAAUUUACUGACGUUUGUUUCACUCUAAUUUAGAUGGGAAAAACAGUCUAUUUCAACGAGAAUAGAGAUAUUAUGGAGUUUGAAGCAAUAAUUGGAGGCAUCAGCAUUGGUAACUUGAGAAACUCUCUGGAACAGCUUGGGUUAUACAUAAAGGAUGAUUGCAUGGAAAAUGAUGAAGUGGAGGCAAUUCUGCAAGGAGAAGAGGGGGAAAUUCUUUCGUAAUCCUAGCUGCAUAUAUGUGUAGUUUUGAGGUGUUAAUUGUAAAUUAGUAUUCAUUUUGUGGGCUGUUAGGGAACGAAAGGCAAGAUCUCUAAUUAGUCAAUCAAACAUUGUAAGUACAACUAGUGCAUAUUUUUUGUAGAUGCAGUCCAACAAAGAUUCAGUACAACUUGUGAAUAAUUUUUUGUGUAUUUAGAAUUUGUCUUGUAAAUCCGUAUGUCCAGCGUGGUGCUGCCAUUGGAUUGAAAAAGCAAUGUUAUGCCCGUAGGAUGGUAGCAAUUUACUUUUUAUUAUUUUUUAUUUUUUUUACAAUUUUUUUACAAUUUAUUUAUUUAUUUAUUUAUUAUUUUUUUUUUCCGGAUCAAAUUGCUCGUUUGAGCUUAAG
RNAcentral lists this long non-coding RNA (3386 nucleotides) under Olea europaea subsp. europaea. The record is from RNAcentral. Lineage: Eukaryota; Viridiplantae; Streptophyta; Magnoliopsida; Lamiales; Oleaceae.